CCUACGGGAGGCAGCAGUGAGGAAUAUUGGUCAAUGGUCGGGAGACUGAACCAGCCAAGCCGCGUGAGGGAUGAAGGUACAGAGUAUCGUAAACCUCUUUUGUCAGGGCACAAAGGCGGGGACGCGUCCCCGGAUGAGUGUACCUGAAGAAAAAGCAUCGGCUAACUCCGUGCCAGCAGCCGCGGUAAUACGGAGGAUGCGAGCGUUAUCCGGAUUUAUUGGGUUUAAAGGGUGCGCAGGCGGUCUGUUAAGUCAGCGGUCAAAGCCCGGGGCUCAACCCCGGCCCGCCGUUGAAACUGGCAGUCGCGAGUUGGAGAGAAGUAUGCGGAAUGCGCGGCGUAGCGGUGAAAUGCAUAGAUAUCGCGCAGAACACCGAUUGCGAAGGCAGCAUGCCGGCUCCACACUGACGCUGAGGCACGAAAGCGUGGGUAUCGAACAGGAUUAGAUAUCCCAGUAGUC
RNAcentral lists this ribosomal RNA (459 nucleotides) under uncultured bacterium. RNAcentral describes it as "partial 16S ribosomal RNA". It matches the Rfam family "Bacterial small subunit ribosomal RNA", at positions 338 to 795 of the family's 1533-position model. The record is from RNAcentral.